This 466-nucleotide ribosomal RNA is filed under the name uncultured bacterium. RNAcentral describes it as "partial 16S ribosomal RNA". It matches the Rfam family "Bacterial small subunit ribosomal RNA", at positions 28 to 507 of the family's 1533-position model. The record is from RNAcentral.
GAUGAACGCUGGCGGCGUGCUUAACACAUGCAAGUCGAACGGAAAGGCUCCUGCUUGCAGGGGUACUCGAGUGGCGAACGGGUGAGUAACACGUGGGUGAUCUGCCCUGCACUUCGGGAUAAGCCUGGGAAACUGGGCCUAAUACCGGAUAGGACGAUGGUUUGGAUGCCAUUGUGGAAAGUUUUUUCGGUGUGGGAUGGGCUCGCGGCCUAUCAGCGUGUUGGUGGGGUAAUGGCCUACCAAGGCGUCGACGGGUAGCCGGCCUGAGAGGGUGUACGGCCACAUUGGGACUGAGAUAAGGCCCAGACUCCUACGGGAGGCAGCAGUGGGGAAUAUUGCACAAUGGGCGCAAGCCUGAUGCAGCGACGCCGCGUGGGGGAUGACGGCCUUCGGGUUGUAAACCCCUUUCGCUAGGGACGAAGCGCAAGUGACGGUACCUGGAGAAGAAGCACCGGCUAACUACGUG